RNAcentral lists this ribosomal RNA (269 nucleotides) under uncultured prokaryote. RNAcentral describes it as "partial 16S ribosomal RNA". It matches the Rfam family "Bacterial small subunit ribosomal RNA", at positions 505 to 773 of the family's 1533-position model. The record is from RNAcentral.
GUGUCAGCCGCCGCGGUAAUACGUAGGGGGCGAGCGUUGUCCGGAAUUAUUGGGCGUAAAGGGCGCGCAGGCGGUCUUUUAAGUCUGAUGUGAAAUCCCGCGGCUUAACCGCGGGCGGUCAUUGGAAACUGGAGGACUUGAGUGCAGAAGAGGAGAGUGGAAUUCCACGUGUAGCGGUGAAAUGCGUAGAGAUGUGGAGGAACACCAGUGGCGAAGGCGACUCUCUGGUCUGCUACUGACGCUGAGGCGCGAAAGCGUGGGCAGCGAAC